UUCAUGGAAUUUCUGGAAAUUACCUCCUCUUGUAAUUGAUGUUUGAGGUGUCAACUGGAGAUCUAUCCUUAAACACCUGAAUACCGAGAAAAAUGUGUUUUGGCCUUGCUUGUUCUGGUUCUGUCGCUCUUCAGGUUGUGUGUGGCCAAGACCUACGACAGAAGUCUCAUUGCUGUUUGUACUAGGCUGGCUGCAUGGCCCAAGAGGAGUUCAUAGAAGAUUCUGCAAAAAAAGUUGAAUUCAUUAUACGUUUAUCUUGUUUCAGGAACAGUUAAAUGUACAAUAUUUGUAUAGAGCAUACAUUUAACCCCAUAAAUGCAAUCAUUUCUCAUGGGGAAGCAGGCAUGCCUGGAAAACAUUAUUGCAUAAUUCUCAGUAUGAAAUGCAUCGUCAUUCCUUGUCAUUGAUUGAGAGUUUAUACCCAGUUAGGCCGGAAAAGUUCUGAGCGUUUUGGUCAUCUGGAAUUAAACUUGUGUUUGGUUCGUGCACAAUAAGCUUCAUU
This 502-nucleotide unclassified non-coding RNA is filed under the name Hevea brasiliensis (rubber tree). The record is from RNAcentral. Lineage: Eukaryota; Viridiplantae; Streptophyta; Magnoliopsida; Malpighiales; Euphorbiaceae.